ACCCACGGGCACAGCCAAGUUCGGAGGUAGUGGCAACUUCUCAUCGUCUCCAUCCUGGCUGUGCUGGGUGGUCAUGGAGGGUUGUCAGUGAUUCCCUCUUCCCCAGCUGUAAAUAAAAAUUUCCCUUCAGAUUAUUAAGCUCUCCCAAGGAAAACACCGGCGCGUACACCUCUGGUCAGGUAGGACUGUGCGCAGGCAGCAGUACCUUUGCUUUGCUCCCAAUUCAAUUAAUGAGCAUCCCAUGAAUAAAUGGGAAUAAAGGGGGCAGUGGUGGAUCUCUCUGAUGCUGGUGGGCUUUGUUUUUUUUCAUUCAGGCUGCAUGCAGUCCUGGGAUUUUUUUUUUUUUGAGGUGAUGCCUGGGUGUGCUUUGGAGCCACGUUUUGCCGGAAAGCUGCUCCGAAGCUCUGCCCAAGGGUCAGCAUUUGCAAAGGCACCAGUGAAGGGGCUCAAUUGCAGGUCCAGGAGCUGUCCUGCCUUCCUCUAUCCUCUGUUACGUCAAAUCUAAAAUCAGGGUGAAGAUCUGGAGAACAGAUCAACCAAGCAGAGCAACAAACACUGGGCAGUGGGCAAGAAUGGAGUAAAAACAACCAGCCUCUUGUGUUGGAACUUAGAAAAGCAUUUUAUAUGCUGCCACCUCCGCUACGUGCAUCCAGCACCGGGGCUCCCAUGUAUUUAAUUUGGCUCCCAUGCAUCAGCCAAAAAUAAGCAACUGUGCUGCUGCUGGGAGGAAACACACUGGUUAUUCAAGAAGCUCAUAAAAGUAUCUUUUUAAGUAGGCAUCAAGGUGUCCAGAAGAAAGGUCCACAAAAUGUCCAUCAGGGGUUUCAUCCAUGCGUCCAAAAGAAAUGAUCUUCUCAAUGACUGAUGUUUUUUCACAUGCCAGGAUUCCACUUUGCUACCCGUUACAUAAUGUGGAUCAGAUUUUGAGGCAGUGCAAUAAUAUGAAGGUUGCCCACUUGACAACAGAUGCUUUUCCUGUUGGCUUUGAAACCCACUCACUGCAAUUAGAAAGGCCUGAGUUUUUUAUAACCUUAAGGCAGGACAUGCAAUCUAUAAAUGCUGCCAUUCCUUGGGACCUUUGUUGCUGCUCUUGGAGUGUAACACCCGUUAGCAUUAAUGGCCGUUCUGUAUACAUAUGAACUACAGAAAAAGCCUGAAUAAAAGUUGGGCAUGCUGCUGUAAUGGGUUGUGAGACCCAUUUAAUGUAUUCAAUACUUGAAGGUUUUAUUCUUACAAAUUAGAGUAGGAAACCCAACGGCUGGAACCAAAGAGUGGAGAUGUGCUGCUGCUGGCUUUGGCAUUCAGGCUGGACAUGAGGAAGAAAUUUUUGACACUGAGGGUGGUGAGACACUGGCCCAGGUUGCCUAGAGAGGUUGUGGAUGCCCCAUCCCUGGAGACAUCCCAGGCCAGGCUGGACGGAGCUCUGAGCAACCUGAGCUGCGUGAAUAUGUCCCUGCUCAUGGCAGGGGGUUGAACUGGAUGAGCUUUGAAGGUCCUUUCCAACCCAAACCACUCUAUGAUUCUCUGACUGUAAUUGUGGGGGAUAGGCUGGGCUUGUGGUGAAGCAUCACAUGCAUGUGGCCAGUACAUGUAUAUUUGUGCUUAGGCCUGCUGGCACACAACCGGCUAUAUACAGGUCCUAUUUAUGGCUUCCUCCUCCACAGGUCAUCUCUUGCAUGGUCUCUUUGCAAAGCCAUACAUAGGAACAUCUUCACAAGAACUCAUGCCAUUAAAUCUGUUCAGUUUAUGCCGCUGUGCUUUAAAACAGCUAAAGGAGAUGAAGGUCUGAAAUUUAAGGCCAGGGAUUUCAUGUAAUCAAGGAGUGAUUUUAGUGAAGCAAGGUAGGACAAGAGGGAGAGGAUGUUACUGCAGGACUGUGUAGAGCCCCCAUGUCACAACAUCACCACCAAGUGCAAUUGCAGUGUCCCUGCCUUGUGCUUUGGGGACUGUGCUUUUCAAAUGAAGAUGUUCCUUCAUUCUUGAGUCUUGGAUUUGGCUAUGGCAGAGGCAUUAGUAGUGGACAGGCACAGUCCCAAGAGCCAGCUAGCCCAGGUAGGCAGAGGGUAGCCCAUUGAUGGUCUGCUUACUGUCUGCCGUGUGGGGGUAACCCCAAAAUAAAGGGACCAGAGCCUGAAACUGCAGGUAUCCAUGAACCAACAUAUCAGAGAGUGUCCAAGAGUGGUGCAUUAGCACCAGUGCCUCCUUGGCUCCAAACCUGACAGCGCCCAACUUCUCAGGACCUGGUGCUUUACCAACAUACAACAGCAGCAAUGACCAGACCAAAUCUUACCCACAAGACAUUCACAUCUGGUAAGAAAUGGAGAUGAUGAUACCCCGAAAAGAUGCAGAGCAGGGACACACAAGGUAUCAGAGAACUGGGAACUGAUCACGGACAGUUACCUUAAAGAACCAACACAAACUCUAGGAGAAAUUGCUAAAAUGUUGUAUUAUUGUUGUAACUCCUCUUUUUCUUACAGAAAUAUUUGUCUCCUACACUGUCAGAGUGGAGGUUUGAGCGUAGGCAUCCCUAAACCCUCCAGCUCCUUACCCUACAUGAGAUAGUUCAAAGCAUGGAAGACGAUGCGCUGAGGAGAUGCAGUUCUACAUAUGCUUGUUAGGAAGCACGACAUCUUGAAUGACAGAAAACGUCACUUAAGUGCAAACCACCAACAUUAUCGGGAUGUGCAGUCGUGGGAAGGGUGAGAGCUCUUGCAAGUGAGCACAAUUGCUACCGGAGUACCCUUGGAAAAGACAAAACGGAAAGAUGAGAGGGAUGCAGUGGUUCAUAAUUUAUUUUUUUGGAGAGCAAAAAGGCAGUGCUACACUGA
This is a long non-coding RNA of Columba livia (rock pigeon), 2828 nucleotides long. RefSeq lists it as uncharacterized. The record is from RefSeq and is a predicted model, not a curated record. The transcript is spliced from 3 exons. NCBI's taxonomy places the organism in Eukaryota, Metazoa, Chordata, Aves, Columbiformes, Columbidae.